GCGGCGGUAGUAUAGUGGUCUAGUAUGUGGCGUUGCCAACGCUGCGACCCGGGUUCAAAUCCCGGCCGCCGCA
RNAcentral lists this transfer RNA (73 nucleotides) under Candidatus Woesearchaeota archaeon. Its description in RNAcentral is "tRNA-Gly". It matches the Rfam family "tRNA". From Rfam's summary of the family: Transfer RNA (tRNA) molecules are approximately 80 nucleotides in length. Their secondary structure includes four short double-helical elements and three loops (D, anti-codon, and T loops). Further hydrogen bonds mediate the characteristic L-shaped molecular structure. tRNAs have two regions of fundamental functional importance: the anti-codon, which is responsible for specific mRNA codon recognition, and the 3' end, to which the tRNAs corresponding amino acid is attached (by aminoacyl-tRNA synthetases). tRNAs cope with the degeneracy of the genetic code in two manners: having more than one tRNA (with a specific anti-codon) for a particular amino acid; and 'wobble' base-pairing, i.e. permitting non-standard base-pairing at the 3rd anti-codon position. Lineage: Archaea; Nanobdellati; Candidatus Woesearchaeota. The record is from RNAcentral.